This 157-nucleotide microRNA precursor is filed under the name Oryza brachyantha (malo sina). RNAcentral's name for it is "MIR812 microRNA precursor family". It matches the Rfam family "MIR812 microRNA precursor family", at positions 27 to 187 of the family's 205-position model. Lineage: Eukaryota; Viridiplantae; Streptophyta; Magnoliopsida; Poales; Poaceae. The record is from Rfam by way of RNAcentral.
UCUAACGUUUGACCAUUUAUCUUAUUUAAAAUUUUUUAUGAUUAAUAUUGUUAUUGUUACUAGAUGAUAAAAUAUGAAUAGUACUUUAUACUUGACUAAUUUUUUAAUUGUAUAAAUUUUUUAAAUAAGAUGAAUGGUCAAACGUUGGGUACGGAAA